AGUGAACGCUGGCGGCGUGCUUAAUACAUGCAAGUCGAACGAUGAAGUCCUAGCUUGCUAGGAUGGAUUAGUGGCGCACGGGUGAGUAAUAUAUAGUUAAUCUGCCUUGCACUGAGGAACAACAGUUGGAAACGAUUGCUAAUACCUCAUACUCCAACUUUACAUAAGUUAAGUUGGGAAAGUCUUUUCGGUGCAAGAUGAGACUAUUUCGUAUCAGCUAGUUGGUAAGGUAAUGGCUUACCAAGGCUAUGACGCGUAACUGGUCUGAGAGGAUGAUCAGUCACAUUGGAACUGAGACACGGUCCAAACUCCUACGGGAGGCAGCAGUAAGGAAUAUUGUGCAAUGGGGGAAACCCUGACGCAGCAACGCCGCGUGGAGGAUGACACUUUUCGGAGCGUAAACUCCUUUUGUUAGGGAAGAAUAAUGACGGUACCUAACGAAUAAGCACCGGCUAACUCCGUG
RNAcentral lists this ribosomal RNA (463 nucleotides) under uncultured bacterium. Its description in RNAcentral is "partial 16S ribosomal RNA". It matches the Rfam family "Bacterial small subunit ribosomal RNA", at positions 29 to 507 of the family's 1533-position model. The record is from RNAcentral.